RNAcentral lists this ribosomal RNA (207 nucleotides) under uncultured bacterium. RNAcentral describes it as "partial 16S ribosomal RNA". It matches the Rfam family "Bacterial small subunit ribosomal RNA", at positions 568 to 774 of the family's 1533-position model. The record is from RNAcentral.
CUCGUAGGCGGCCAACUAAGUCACACGUGAAAUCCCUCGGCUUAACCGGGGAACUGCGUCUGAUACUGGAUGGCUUGAGUUCGGGAGAGGGAUGCGGAAUUCCAGGUGUAGCGGUGAAAUGCGUAGAUAUCUGGAGGAACACCGGUGGCGAAGGCGGCAUCCUGGACCGAUACUGACGCUGAGGAGCGAAAGCCAGGGGAGCAAACG